UGCGUAGGUGGCGUGGUAAGUCUGAUGUGAAAGCCCACGGCUCAACCGUGGAGGGUCAUUGGAAACUGGAGAACUUGAGUACAGAAGAGGAAAGCGGAAUUCCACGUGUAGCGGUGAAAUGCGUAGAGAUGUGGAGGAACACCAGUGGCGAAGGCGGCUUUCUGGUCUGUAACUGACGCUGAGGCGCGAAAGCGUGGGGAGCAAACAGGAUUAGAUACCCGCGUA
RNAcentral lists this ribosomal RNA (225 nucleotides) under uncultured Sporosarcina sp. Its description in RNAcentral is "partial 16S ribosomal RNA". It matches the Rfam family "Bacterial small subunit ribosomal RNA", at positions 568 to 792 of the family's 1533-position model. Lineage: Bacteria; Bacillati; Bacillota; Bacilli; Caryophanales; Caryophanaceae. The record is from RNAcentral.